CAAGUCAGGGCGCCCCGCCCUGCCAACCCCUUUUUUUUUUGCCAUCGGAAAAGGUACCAAAAACUCAACCAAAACUUAGAUCCAUCCGCCUCAACCAUUGCGGUCGCCGCCACUGAAUACAUCAAUUGAUACAACUUAUCAGCUGCAAGCGCGACAUCAUCAAUUCUUGAGGCCAACGCAAAAGUUCAACAUUUGGUAGCAAAAGGUUUCCAUGGCCAAGCCCUUGCAGUGUACAAAGAACAAGUCCACCCUUUCCCUGCAACUGCAAGUCUGCAAGUACCUUUAUUCUUCCGUCAAUCAUCAUAGCCUGUGCUCAUUCUCAAACCCACCAAAUUUUGGGACUUCAAAUACACUGCAACGUUGUCAUAGAUGGGUUUGAUUCUGAAUCCACCGUCUCAAAUUCCCUCAUCUCCAUGUAUUCAAAGUUUUCGGACACGAAGAGCGCGUACAAGCUGUUCGAUUCUAUGCCUCAUAGAGAUACCAUUUCCUGGAAUGCCGUGUUAAUUGCUAUAUGCAAAAUGGGUUUUUCUCGAGUCAUUAAAGAUGUUUAGGGAGAUCAGAGAUGUAUAUGCCUGGUUUUGUGUCGAAAUCUGAGCUUAUCGAGUGUAAAUGGUUUGGGACCUCAUCUGCAAAAAU
This 636-nucleotide long non-coding RNA is filed under the name Olea europaea subsp. europaea. The record is from RNAcentral. Lineage: Eukaryota; Viridiplantae; Streptophyta; Magnoliopsida; Lamiales; Oleaceae.